GCGAAAGUGGCGAAACUGGUAGACGCGCGAGCCUUAGGAGCUCGUCCCGUAAGGGGUGGGGGUUCGAGUCCCCCCUUUCGCACCA
This 85-nucleotide transfer RNA is filed under the name Acidobacteriota bacterium. RNAcentral's name for it is "Acidobacteria bacterium (soil metagenome) tRNA-Leu". It matches the Rfam family "tRNA". Rfam says of the family: Transfer RNA (tRNA) molecules are approximately 80 nucleotides in length. Their secondary structure includes four short double-helical elements and three loops (D, anti-codon, and T loops). The record is from RNAcentral. Lineage: Bacteria; Pseudomonadati; Acidobacteriota.